Molecule: long non-coding RNA, 463 nt
Filed under: Capsicum annuum
Lineage: Eukaryota; Viridiplantae; Streptophyta; Magnoliopsida; Solanales; Solanaceae
Description: long non-coding RNA (CANN_LNC012005)
Source: RNAcentral
UACAAAAGGCCUAUCUAGAGAAGGAGUGGAAAGAGCAUCCAAGGGAAUGGGUUUAAGGCCUAGGACAAGUCAGCAUGGCGGUAACUCUAUCUAGCAGACUGGAGAUCCCAAGAGCUAGGUUCAAGGAGAUCAAACAAAGUUGUGUCUGACAGGUUCAACAUUGUCAAUUACCCAACCCAUUCUCAUGAUGUAGACAAUGUAUAGUAAACAAGGAUAAGACUUAAGGUGAAAAGUCUUUUAAUGAUUAUCUAAAUUUGGCAGAUUUGACCAAAUAGUUUAAUCUACAGGAUUGAACGUUUAGAAAUCACCUAUGUGUGGGCGAAGUGGAAGCCGCUUCAAAGAGAAUGUUAGUAAAGGUCUAUUCUCUAAGCUCUCAUGAAAAUCGGGACGUGUUCAUGGCUGAAAAGAACAAAACCGUAAGAACCAUAAAUGGUAAAAGGCUGGUUAUGUGACAUGUGUUGUC